RNAcentral lists this ribosomal RNA (351 nucleotides) under Terebra sp. MNHN IM 2013-52291. Its description in RNAcentral is "partial 12S ribosomal RNA". Lineage: Eukaryota; Metazoa; Mollusca; Gastropoda; Neogastropoda; Terebridae. RNAcentral also lists the same sequence under 1 other name. The record is from RNAcentral.
ACCGGAGUACUAUGAAUAUUAAAAAUUUAAAACUCAAAGAACUUGGCGGUGUUUUAGACCACUCAGGGGAACCUGUCUCAUAAUCGAUAAUCCACGUUGUACCUGACCUUUUUUUGUAUUCAGUUUGUAUACCGUUGUCGUCAGGUAACUUUUUAGAAAUUAGAAGUUAGCAGCAGAAAUAAAAAUAAUUUAAUACGUCAAAUCAAGGUGCAGCUAAUGAAAAGGGGAGGAUGGGUUACAAUUAUAUAAUUUAUAAUAACGGAUAGGUAUAUGGAGUAUAUAUUAAUUAUAAGGCGGACUUGAAAGUAAAUUAGGUUAUAUAAAUAACUUGAAUGAGGCUCUGAAACGUGU